UGGGGAAUUUUGGACAAUGGGCGAAAGCCUGAUCCAGCAAUGCCGCGUGUGUGAAGAAGGCCUUCGGGUUGUAAAGCACUUUUGUCCGGAAAGAAAUCCUUGGCUCUAAUACAGUCGGGGGAUGACGGUACCGGAAGAAUAAGCACCGGCUAACUACGUGCCAGCAGCCGCGGUAAUACGUAGGGUGCAAGCGUUAAUCGGAAUUACUGGGCGUAAAGCGUGCGCAGGCGGUUUGCUAAGACCGAUGUGAAAUCCCCGGGCUCAACCUGGGAACUGCAUUGGUGACUGGCAGGCUAGAGUAUGGCAGAGGGGGGUAGAAUUCCACGUGUAGCAGUGAAAUGCGUAGAGAUGUGGAGGAAUACCGAUGGCGAAGGCAGCCCCCCUGGGCCAAUACUGACGCUCAUGCACGAAAGCGUGGGGAGCAAACAGGAUUAGAUACCCUGGUAGUCCACGCCCUAAAACGAUGUCAACUAGUUGUUGGGGAUUCAUUUCCUUAGUAACGUAGCUAACGCGUGAAGUUGACCGCCUGGGGAGUACGGUCGCAAGAUUAAAACUCAAAGGAAUUGAC
RNAcentral lists this ribosomal RNA (568 nucleotides) under uncultured bacterium. RNAcentral describes it as "partial 16S ribosomal RNA". It matches the Rfam family "Bacterial small subunit ribosomal RNA", at positions 355 to 914 of the family's 1533-position model. The record is from RNAcentral.